AUGCAAAUACCAGCGACAGUUAGCGAAGCUGCGAUGUAUGCUGGUAUUCAGGAAGAGGUCUUGGCUAGAAGCAAACAUGUUAAAUGGACAAACCACAAAGCAAUGGGUUCAAAAACUGAUUACAAGGCUCAACCAGUGGCUGUAGGAGAUCUAUGGAAAGCUAGACAGCUGAAAGAGUUUCGAAGGGCUAAUGGUCUUUGUUAUAGUUGUGGAGAAAAAUACACACCAACUCACGUGUGUGCUAAGCACCCGGUUCAGGCAACUGUGCAAGCAUUGCAAUGUGAAGGCCCUACUGUUCUAUCUGAUGAAGUGCUUGAUGCAGUUGAGGAACAGGAAGCAGCCUUACAAGAUAUGCAGCUGUCGGUAAAUGCCAUUUCAGGGGCAGAUCAUCCAAGGACAAUCAGGUUGCGAGCCUUAAUUGGGAAUCAAGUUGUGCUAAUUCUGUUGGAUUCGGGCAGCACUCACAGCUUUAUAGAUAUUGAGAUGUUAGCCUGA
This 495-nucleotide ribosomal RNA is filed under the name Triticum aestivum (bread wheat). Its description in RNAcentral is "partial small subunit ribosomal RNA". The record is from RNAcentral. Lineage: Eukaryota; Viridiplantae; Streptophyta; Magnoliopsida; Poales; Poaceae.